UUGAACGCUGGCGGCAUGCCUUACACAUGCAAGUCGAACGGCAGCAUGAUCUAGCUUGCUCGAUUGAUGGCGAGUGGCGAACGGGUGAGUAAUACAUCGGAACGUGCCCUGUAGUGGGGGAUAACUAGUCGAAAGAUUAGCUAAUACCGCAUACGACCUGAGGGUGAAAGUGGGGGACCGCAAGGCCUCAUGCUAUAGGAGCGGCCGAUGUCUGAUUAGCUAGUUGGUGAGGUAAAGGCUCACCAAGGCGACGAUCAGUAGCUGGUCUGAGAGGACGAUCAGCCACACUGGGACUGAGACACGGCCCAGACUCCUACGGGAGGCAGCAGUGGGGAAUUUUGGACAAUGGGCGAAAGCCUGAUCCAGCAAUGCCGCGUGUGUGAAGAAGGCCUUCGGGUUGUAAAGCACUUUUGUCCGGAAAGAAAUGGCUCUGGUUAAUACCUGGGGUCGAUGACGGUACCGGAAGAAUAAGGACCGGCUAACUACGUG
RNAcentral lists this ribosomal RNA (489 nucleotides) under uncultured bacterium. RNAcentral describes it as "partial 16S ribosomal RNA". It matches the Rfam family "Bacterial small subunit ribosomal RNA", at positions 30 to 507 of the family's 1533-position model. The record is from RNAcentral.